GACGAACGCUGGCGGCGUGCUUAACACAUGCAAGUCGAACGGAAAGGCCCUGCUUUUGUGGGGUGCUCGAGUGGCGAACGGGUGAGUAACACGUGAGUAACCUGCCCUUGACUUUGGGAUAACUUCAGGAAACUGGGGCUAAUACCGGAUAGGAGCUCCUGCUGCAUGGUGGGGGUUGGAAAGUUUCGGCGGUUGGGGAUGGACUCGCGGCUUAUCAGCUUGUUGGUGGGGUAGUGGCUUACCAAGGCUUUGACGGGUAGCCGGCCUGAGAGGGUGACCGGCCACAUUGGGACUGAGAUACGGCCCAGACUCCUACGGGAGGCAGCAGUGGGGAAUAUUGCACAAUGGGCGGAAGCCUGAUGCAGCAACGCCGCGUGCGGGAUGACGGCCUUCGGGUUGUAAACCGCUUUCGCCUGUGACGAAGCGUGAGUGACGGUAAUGGGUAAAGAAGCACCGGCUAACUACGUGCCAGCAGCCGCGGUGAUACGUAGGGUGCGAGCGUUGUCCGGAUUUAUUGGGCGUAAAGGGCUCGUAGGUGGUUGAUCGCGUCGGAAGUGUAAUCUUGGGGCUUAACCCUGAGCGUGCUUUCGAUACGGGUUGACUUGAGGAAGGUAGGGGAGAAUGGAAUUCCUGGUGGAGCGGUGGAAUGCGCAGAUAUCAGGAGGAACACCAGUGGCGAAGGCGGUUCUCUGGGCCUUUCCUGACGCUGAGGGGCGAAAGCGUGGGGAGCGAACAGGCUUAGAUACCCUGGUAGUCCACGCUGUAAACGGUGGGUACUAGGUGUGGGGUCCAUUCCACGGGUUCCGUGCCGUAGCUAACGCUUUAAGUACCCCGCCUGGGGAGUACGGCCGCAAGGCUAAAACUCAAAGGAAUUGACGGGGCCCCGCACAAGCGGCGGAGCAUGCGGAUUAAUUCGAUGCAACGCGUAGAACCUUACCUGGGUUUGACAUGGAUCGGGAGUGCUCAGAGAUGGGUGUGCCUCUUUUGGGGUCGGUUCACAGGUGGUGCAUGGCUGUCGUCAGCUCGUGUCGUGAGAUGUUGGGUUAAGUCCCGCAACGAGCGCAACCCUUGUUCACUGUUGCCAGCACGUUAUGGUGGGGACUCAGUGGAGACCGCCGGGGUCAACUCGGAGGAAGGUGGGGAUGACGUCAGGUCAUCAUGCCCCUUAUGUCCAGGGCUUCACGCAUGCUACAAUGGCUGGUACAGAGAGUGGCGAGCCUGUGAGGGUGAGCGAAUCUCGGAAAGCCGGUCUCAGUUCGGAUUGGGGUCUGCAACUCGACCUCAUGAAGUCGGAGUCGCUAGUAAUCGCAGAUCAGCAACGCUGCGGUGAAUACGUUCCCGGGGCU
This 1346-nucleotide ribosomal RNA is filed under the name uncultured bacterium. RNAcentral's name for it is "partial 16S ribosomal RNA". It matches the Rfam family "Bacterial small subunit ribosomal RNA", at positions 28 to 1381 of the family's 1533-position model. The record is from RNAcentral.